Non-coding RNA from Pelobates cultripes (western spadefoot toad), 210 nucleotides. NCBI's taxonomy places the organism in Eukaryota, Metazoa, Chordata, Amphibia, Anura, Pelobatidae. The record is from the annotation of a GenBank genome assembly.
CUCCUUCUCUGUCUGCGAGCAUUUUUUCUUUGUUUAGCCUUUGUUUUUACAGCACACACAUUCCCCGUACAGAAUAAUUGGUUUUGCUUAAGUGCUGGUUCCUUAUUAAUCACAAUAGCUGGGAAUCAUGCUGGCAAAGCCUCAGGAAGGGAGAAACAGACUAUUGUGAAAUUCCUAAAAACUCCCACCGAAGCUUUGCAAACUCAAAAG